GCGGGCGUGGUGAAACUGGUAGACACAAGGGACUUAAAAUCCCUCGGCUAUGCCGUACGGGUUCGAUUCCCGUCGCCCGCA
Molecule: transfer RNA, 81 nt
Filed under: Devosia crocina
Lineage: Bacteria; Pseudomonadati; Pseudomonadota; Alphaproteobacteria; Hyphomicrobiales; Devosiaceae
Rfam family: tRNA
About the family: Transfer RNA (tRNA) molecules are approximately 80 nucleotides in length. Their secondary structure includes four short double-helical elements and three loops (D, anti-codon, and T loops).
Source: Rfam by way of RNAcentral